UCCAUGCUCUUGAUGGACAUCUUC
Molecule: non-coding RNA, 24 nt
Filed under: Arabidopsis thaliana (thale cress)
Lineage: Eukaryota; Viridiplantae; Streptophyta; Magnoliopsida; Brassicales; Brassicaceae
Source: RNAcentral